GAUGAACGCUGGCGGCGUGCCUAGUACAUGCAAGUCGAACGCUUCACUUCGGUGAAGAGUGGCGAACGGGUGAGUAAUACAUAAGUAACCUGGCAUCUACAGGGGGAUAACUGAUGGAAACGUCAGCUAAGACCGCAUAGGCGUAGAGAUCGCAUGAACUCUAUAUGAAAAGUGCUACGGGACUGGUAGAUGAUGGACUUAUGGCGCAUUAGCUUGUUGGUAGGGUAACGGCCUACCAAGGCGACGAUGCGUAGCCGACCUGAGAGGGUGACCGGCCACACUGGGACUGAGACACGGCCCAGACUCCUACGGGAGGCAGCAGUAGGGAAUUUUCGGCAAAGGGGGAAACCCUGACCGAGCAACGCCGCGUGAAGGAAGAAGUAAUUCGUUAUGUAAACUUCUGUCAUAGAGGAAGAACGGUGGAUAUAGGGAAUGAUAUCCAAGUGACGGUACUCUAUAAGAAAGCCACGGCUAACUACGUG
This 482-nucleotide ribosomal RNA is filed under the name uncultured bacterium. RNAcentral's name for it is "partial 16S ribosomal RNA". It matches the Rfam family "Bacterial small subunit ribosomal RNA", at positions 28 to 507 of the family's 1533-position model. The record is from RNAcentral.